GAGUGCCUUCAUCUGAAUUGUCUCACCUACAGGCCGUGGAUGUGGUGGGCCAGGCCGGCAAGCCGAAGACCAUCACGGGGUUCCAGACACAUACCACCCCCGUGUUGCUGGCCCAUGGGGAACGGGCAGAAUUGGCUACUGAGGAGUUUCUUCCUGUAACCCCCAUUCUGGAAGGUUUUGUUAUCCUUCGGAAGAACCCCAACUAUGACCUCUAAGUGGACACCAGGGGCCCCAGCUUCCGAUGGAUCGGACCCUCGGGAAAUAACGAAUGUAAUGGAUCUUUCUGGGAGAUGCACGCACACAUUUUUGCGAACUCUUAGGCCUGACUUGCCAGAGACAUUGUGGACCCCGGCCUGUACUCUCUUCCCUGUGUACUGGUUUAUCCCCGAGUCCAUCUUCUGACCUUCGCCUAAGGAUGCCCGAGAGAGGGAAUCCCCGUCUUUUCCUAAUUCAGCUGUGUGCUACUAAAUGAAAAGGACAUCUUUUCCUCCUG
Long non-coding RNA from Tupaia belangeri chinensis (Chinese tree shrew), 493 nucleotides. RefSeq lists it as uncharacterized. The record is from RefSeq and is a predicted model, not a curated record. The transcript is spliced from 2 exons. NCBI's taxonomy places the organism in Eukaryota, Metazoa, Chordata, Mammalia, Scandentia, Tupaiidae.